CCUACGGGAGGCAGCAGUGAGGAAUAUUGGUCAAUGGGCGCAAGCCUGAACCAGCCAAGUCGCGUGAGGGAAGACGGCCCUACGGGUUGUAAACCUCUUUUGCCGGGGAGCAAGCCUGAGCACGUGUGCCCAGGCGGCGAGUACCCGGAGCAAAAGCAUCGGCUAACUCCGUGCCAGCAGCCGCGGUAAUACGGGGGAUGCGGGCGUUAUCCGGCUUUAUUGGGGUUAAAGGGUGCGCAGGGGGGCUGUUAAGCCGGCGGUAAAAAUUCAGGGUUAAACCCUGUCGAGCCGUCGGAACUGGCAGUCUUGAGUGGGCGAGAGGUAUGCGGAAUGCGUGGUGUAGCGGUGAAAUGCAUAGAUAUCAGGCAGAACGCCGAGUGCGAAGGCAGCAUGCCGGCGCCCGACUGACGCUGAGGCGCGAAAGCGUGGGGAUCGAACAGGAUUAGAUACCCUAGUAGUC
Molecule: ribosomal RNA, 460 nt
Filed under: uncultured bacterium
Lineage: Bacteria
Description: partial 16S ribosomal RNA
Rfam family: Bacterial small subunit ribosomal RNA
Source: RNAcentral